CGGCAUUGAGUGCUUGCACUCUUUGGACGUCGACCGGCGCACGGGUGAGUAACGCGUAUUCCAACCUUCCCAUUACUGUGGGAUAACCUGCCGAAAGGCAGACUAAUACCGCAUAGUCUUCGAUGACGGCAUCAGAUUUGAAGUAAAGAUUUAUCGGUAAUGGAUGGGGAUGCGUCUGAUUAGCUUGUUGGCGGGGUAACGGCCCACCAAGGCUACGAUCAGUAGGGGUUCUGAGAGGAAGGUCCCCACAUUGGAACUGAGACACGGUCCAAACUCCUACGGGAGGCAGCAGUGGGGAAUAUUGGACAAUGGACCGGGAGUCUGAUCCAGCAAUUCUGUGUGCACGAUGAAGUUUUUCGGAAUGUAAAGUGCUUUCAGUUGGGAAGAAAGAAAUGACGGUACCAACAGAAGAAGUGACGGCUAAAUACGUGCCAGCAGCCGCGGUAAUACGUAUGUCACGAGCGUUAUCCGGAUUUAUUGGGCGUAAAGCGCGUCUAGGUGGUUAUAUAAGUCUGAUGUGAAAAUGCAGGGCUCAACUCUGUAUUGCGUUGGAAACUGUAUAACUAGAGUACUGGAGAGGUAAGCGGAACUACAAGUGUAGAGGUGAAAUUCGUAGAUAUUUGUAGGAAUGCCGAUGGGGAAGCCAGCUUACUGGACAGAUACUGACGCUGAAGCGCGAAAGCGUGGGUAGCAAACAGGAUUAGAUACCCUGGUAGUCCACGCUGUAAACGAUGAUUACUAGGUGUUGGGGGUCGAACCUCAGCGCCCAAGCAAACGCGAUAAGUAAUCCGCCUGGGGAGUACGUACGCAAGUAUGAAACUCAAAGGAAUUGACGGC
RNAcentral lists this ribosomal RNA (837 nucleotides) under uncultured bacterium. RNAcentral describes it as "bacterial SSU rRNA". It matches the Rfam family "Bacterial small subunit ribosomal RNA", at positions 67 to 917 of the family's 1533-position model. The record is from RNAcentral.